RNAcentral lists this ribosomal RNA (237 nucleotides) under uncultured bacterium. Its description in RNAcentral is "partial 16S ribosomal RNA". It matches the Rfam family "Bacterial small subunit ribosomal RNA", at positions 15 to 244 of the family's 1533-position model. The record is from RNAcentral.
GAUCCUGGCUCAGGAUGAACGCUGGCGGCGUGCUUAACACAUGCAAGUCGAACGAUUGAAGCUGGAGCUUGCUCCGGCCGAUUUAGUGGCGGACGGGUGAGUAACGCGUGGGUAACCUGCCUCAUACAGGGGGAUAGCAGUUGGAAACGACUGGUAAAACCGCAUAAGCGCACGGUAUCGCAUGACACAGUGUGAAAAACACUCCGGUGGUAUGAGAUGGACCCGCGUCUGGAUUAG